Molecule: ribosomal RNA, 327 nt
Filed under: uncultured eukaryote
Lineage: Eukaryota
Description: partial 18S ribosomal RNA
Rfam family: Eukaryotic small subunit ribosomal RNA
Source: RNAcentral
CCCUUAGAUGUUCUGGGCCACACGCGCGUUACACUGAUGAAGCCAGCGAGUAUAUCGCCUUCACCGGAAGGUGCGGGUAAUCUUGUGAAACUUCAUCGUGCUGGGGAUAGACCAUUGCAAUUAUUGGUCUUGAACGAGGAAUUCCUAGUAAGCAUGAGUCAUCAACUCGUGCUGAUUACGUCCCUGCCCUUUGUACACAUCGCCCGUCGCUACUACCGAUUGAAUGGUUUAGUGAGAUCUCGGGAUUGGAGACGUUGCGCCGCAAGGCACAUCGUCCUCGAGAACUUGAUCAAACUUGAUCAUUUAGAGGAAGUAAAAGUCGUAACA